This 387-nucleotide ribosomal RNA is filed under the name Stenodactylus petrii. Its description in RNAcentral is "partial 12S ribosomal RNA". It matches the Rfam family "Bacterial small subunit ribosomal RNA", at positions 796 to 1381 of the family's 1533-position model. The record is from RNAcentral. Lineage: Eukaryota; Metazoa; Chordata; Lepidosauria; Squamata; Gekkonidae.
UCAGCUGUAAACUAUGGUAGCUAAACUACAAGCUACCCGCCAGAGAACUACAAGCGAAAAGCUUGAAACUCAAAGGGCUUGACGGUGGCCCACACCAACCUAGAGGAGCCUGUCCCAUAAUCGAUAAUCCACGCUUCACCCUACCUGCCCUAGCCCCCACUCAGCCUAUAUACCGCCGUCUCCGGCUUACCUAAUGAUAGACCCACAGUAGGCCCCCCUGGCAACCCCAGACACGACAGGUCAAGGUGUAGCUAAUGGGCAGGUCAAAGAUGGGCUACAUUUUCUUAAUCAAGAAAAAACCAACAGCGCUAUGAAACCCCGCCACAAAGGAGGAUUUAGCAGUAAGCCUGAAAUAAACCACGCCAGACUGAAGUAUGUCCUGGGCCG